Long non-coding RNA from Engraulis encrasicolus (European anchovy), 905 nucleotides. RefSeq lists it as uncharacterized. The transcript has 3 exons. NCBI's taxonomy places the organism in Eukaryota, Metazoa, Chordata, Actinopteri, Clupeiformes, Engraulidae. The record is from RefSeq and is a predicted model, not a curated record.
CAGUCUUUGAGGUUGCUGGAAUCAACACAGACUACCUCCAUGCACCUUAUCAGAACACUUUGCAUGUUUUUUGUGUACUUGUCCCCUUUGUGUAUUGCUGCUAAUCUGUCUCUUUCUAGGUUCUGUUGGUUGCAUGCAGAUUGUGCCAGAUGAUUUACCUGUCUAUGGUCUAAGCAUUGGGCUCUGUGCUAAUAUGCAAUUUGUGCUCUUUUUUUCCCUCAGGUCAACCGCAGACAGGGUCCUUCCACAACCACAUACUUAUGCCAGUAAAAGCUACAGCUUUUCUCCUCCGAUCCAAGAAGCCUGGACUGCAGUCACCAUCUCAACACACCAACCAAGAGAAAGGCGGAUGGCUCAAUUCAAUAUGGAAAAUUGCACAAUAAAAGUUCCAGGACAUGAAGGCUGCAUACUGUGAACGUCAACCUUCAGGGCACCGUCCUGCGCAGAAGACUUUCUACCCUAAGAGGGAUGGCUGACCGCAGACACUCACAACCAGCACAGACGCCUCCAACCUCAGACUAGGCCCUUCACAGUUGCUGCACUUACCCACCUUCCCAGAGUUUUUGUGUGGUAAUGACAACUGUAAAUAUAGUAUAAAGUAAUGUAUCUAGUGUCAUGUGUAAUACAUUGUUUAAAUUGUCCAUACAUUUCAAUGACAGUAAAUAUUGGUGGACACAAUUUGACUUUUUUUUUAUUCAUUCUCUGACUGAAAAUGCAUGGUUACAUAAUUUAUAUAUUCCACAAGACCACAAUCAGAAGAUUAUUUGACAGGUUGCAUUUAUUUUCUAUGUAUGAAAAAAAACAAUGGUAACAAGACAAACGUGGUUCCAAACCAAGGUGAGAUGUAUAAAUGUACAGAUGAAUGCUCCUACAGAUAAUGAAAAAUAAUAAAACUCUGCACACUG